Long non-coding RNA from Lolium rigidum, 621 nucleotides. RefSeq lists it as uncharacterized. The record is from RefSeq and is a predicted model, not a curated record. The transcript is spliced from 3 exons. Lineage: Eukaryota; Viridiplantae; Streptophyta; Magnoliopsida; Poales; Poaceae.
AAAAAUUUAUACGAAAGAUUUUAUUAUUGUCGAACGUGAGGGAGAGACAAUGAAUGAUUGGAGCCUAUGUGCCAAGAACCUGCAUAUAUUAGUUUGGAGAACAAUUGAAGGAAGGCUGAAUCUAUAUUUGAGAUGUUCAUCGUCGCUGAAGCACGAAGAAAGUACGAAACAACGGGCCAUCUGCACAUAAUCGAGAUUGCUGAACACAAAAAUAUCCAACAAAUUACUCCGCAUCCUAACAAUUGGGGAGUUCGCAUAUAAUACACAACCAUUUGGGGUUCCAGCGGCAUGAAUGGAAAAUAAUACUCUUGUGUUAGUAAACAUAAGAGUGUGACCUACAGCAACAAGUCAAGUUCAGCUAAAGAUCAAACGAUCAACCGUCCAGACUGAUGAACCAGACAGUUUAUUUGGAGGAAAAUAGUGUCAAACACAUUAAAAUAUUAUGCACCUAUUUACCUGUAGUGUUAGGUAUUUAUGUGUUAUUAUGACAAGUGUCCUGCUUAGUUCACUUGGCGUCUCGGCAUGUCUACUAGGCAUAGUCAGACUAUGGUCAUAUUAAGUGCCUCUGUAUAAUCAUGACAAAUGCCUCCUUCACCUUACUCAUCGUAUUACUAGAUUUAA